Non-coding RNA from Potamilus streckersoni, 76 nucleotides. Lineage: Eukaryota; Metazoa; Mollusca; Bivalvia; Unionida; Unionidae. The record is from the annotation of a GenBank genome assembly.
AACUCUCCGGUGGCCUAGUGGUUAGAGCGUGCGCUUUGGAUGCGGGAGGUCGUGGGUUCGAUUCCCGGUCGAGUCA